Molecule: ribosomal RNA, 253 nt
Filed under: uncultured bacterium
Lineage: Bacteria
Description: partial 16S ribosomal RNA
Rfam family: Bacterial small subunit ribosomal RNA
Source: RNAcentral
UACAGAGGUCUCAAGCGUUGUUCGGAUUCAUUGGGCGUAAAGCGUGCGCAGGCGGUUCGUUAAGUUCGUCGUGAAAGCCCCGGGCUCAACCUGGGAAUGGCGAUGGAAACUGGCGGGCUGGAGUGCGGCAGAGGGGGGUGGAAUUCCACGUGUAGCAGUGAAAUGCGUAGAGAUGUGGAGGAACACCGAUGGCGAAGGCAGCCCCCUGGGCCGACACUGACGCUCAGGCACGAAAGCGUGGGGAGCAAACAGG